AGGAUAAACGCUGGCGGCGUGCAUGAGACAUGCAAGUCGAACGGACGAUCAGGGCUUGGCUCUGAUCGUUAGUGGCGGACGGCUGAGUAACGCGUAGGUGACCUGCCCCGAAGUGGGGGAUAACUGCCCGAAAGGGUGGCUAAUACCGCAUGCGGUGGUCCGUUCGAUCGGACCAUCAAAGCAGCAAUGCGCUUCGGGAGGGCCUGCGUCCGAUUAGCUCGUUGGUGGGGUAACGGCUCACCAAGGCGACGAGUCGGUAGGUGGUCUGGAGAGGACGAUCACCCAGACUGGGACUGAGACCACGGCCCAGACCUCCGUAACGGGAGCAGCAGGUGGGAAUUAGUUGGAACAAGUGGGACGAAAGCCUGACUCCGAGCAAUCGCCG
RNAcentral lists this ribosomal RNA (385 nucleotides) under uncultured soil bacterium. Its description in RNAcentral is "bacterial SSU rRNA". It matches the Rfam family "Bacterial small subunit ribosomal RNA", at positions 26 to 399 of the family's 1533-position model. The record is from RNAcentral.